Molecule: long non-coding RNA, 1393 nt
Organism: Daphnia pulex (common water flea)
Lineage: Eukaryota; Metazoa; Arthropoda; Branchiopoda; Diplostraca; Daphniidae
Exons: 3
Source: RefSeq, a predicted model, not a curated record
AAUGAUUUCUGCAAUUUUCCACAACUAAGUAAUGCCAUAAUUGCUUAAGCUGUUCAUGAAAAAGAAUGAAAAAUGUCGUCUGUGACUGUCACCUGUCAGUGAUAACGUCGUCUGUGAUGAAUUCAGUCAGAUGCCGACCUUUUAUCCGGUACUUCAAUCUUGCCUUAAGGAUCACAACAAGAAUUACCAGUAAUGCACUUAUUCUUCGAUCAUGGGAGACCUUAGCUUCCUACACAGCGAUCAGUCUUCCCCAAUAGAAUAUGUUGAUAUAUAACCUCACAGUAAAUUUGUACAGGGAUACUCUUAUGGGCUUUUUUUCUAUCGAGGAGAAUGGAAUACUGCCACAUGCAAACAAAAUUGUUCCCAUUUUGAAGAUAACAUGACAGAUAACUGUCAGACAUCAUUGAAGUCAACAAUAAGUGAUGACCGCUUCUUAAGCUGUCAUCAGUCAGAUGCAGCAAAUGUGGAUGUCCUACAUGUUGUUGGCAUUGGCCUUUUUCGUUUACAACCUUGCAGUAAGCUGGAUCGUCCACCGACUGAAAAGCCGAAAUGAUAACCACACUACCACUAACGUUACCAAUGGCACCACAAAUGUCCCAAGAAGAAUAUUAUCUCGAUGGUCGCUACUGAUCGACUGUCUUUUUCGACCCCUGUUCUCUGACCCAGCACACAGUCUACAGGAUUUAGAACUUGACGAAAGUGUUGAACAAUUCCUUGAACGCCUUGCAUUACCUAGUUUGUGGCUGACGCCCACCGUGCCAACGGAUUACCUGAAAUUCCUCCCUGUUUGGCGAUUUGAAGGCGGCAGUGCUGAAGAGCCGCAGACCAUGAACUGGAUCCCAGAUGCGGAUUGCGCUAUUUGCUUGGACAAAUACCGCGUCGCUGUUGACGUUUGCGGUCUACCGUGCGGUCAUCAGUUUCAUCGUAAUUGUAUCAUGGUCUGGCUGCAGCGAGACAAUCAUCAUUGUCCAACUUGCAGAUGGCCAGCUUAUCAAAACAAAAGUUUUUCUAUUUAAUGUGAUCUCAUUUUGUAUAAAUUGCACUUUUAUUUUAAUUUGGACUCGAAUUUCUAUUUUGACUUGAAUUGACUUUUUAACAUAACUAAAACGAUGAAUCAGUUCAGAUAUGAAUGUUAGUCUUAUUUUAAUCAUUGAUUUCUUCAACUCAUCUAUGCCCAAAUAUUUAUCGAUGUCAAGUGUCGCCUCAAGAGAUUCUUGAGAAGCAUUUUUUUUUCGGUCAGAUAUGCCAAACUUCUGUGAUUCAGUGAUUUUGUCUGUGAUAAUAACGUGCACUUCCCAGAUAAGUUCUCACAUUUUUCUAAUUAUUUAUCUCUGUAUAAAGCGAAAAUGUGUGGCUAUAUUUUUAUUUUUUCAAUAAACAAACCCUUUAAUAA